RNAcentral lists this ribosomal RNA (765 nucleotides) under uncultured Treponema sp. RNAcentral describes it as "bacterial SSU rRNA". It matches the Rfam family "Bacterial small subunit ribosomal RNA", at positions 28 to 776 of the family's 1533-position model. The record is from RNAcentral. Lineage: Bacteria; Pseudomonadati; Spirochaetota; Spirochaetia; Treponematales; Treponemataceae.
AACGAACGCUGGCGGCGCGUCUUAAGCAUGCAAGUCGAACGGCAAGAGAGGAGCUUGCUUCUCUCCUAGAGUGGCGGACUGGUGAGGAACACGUGGGUAAUCUACCCUUAAGAUGGGGAUAGCUGCUAGAAAUAGCAGAUAAUACCGAAUACACUCAAUAUUUCAUAAGAAGUAUUGAGGAAAGGAAGCUACGGCUUCGCUUGAGGAUGAGCUUGCGUCCCAUUAGCUAGUUGGUGAGGUAAAGGCCCACCAAGGCGACGAUGGGUAUCCGGCCUGAGAGGGUGAACGGACACAUUGGGACUGAGAUACGGCCCAAACUCCUACGGGAGGCAGCAGCUAAGAAUAUUCCGCAAUGGACGAAAGUCUGACGGAGCGACGCCGCGUGGAUGAAGAAGGCUGAAAAGUUGUAAAAUCCUUUUGUUGAUGAAGAAUAAGGGGGAGAGGGAAUGCUUCUCUGAUGACGGUAAUCAGCGAAUAAGCCCCGGCUAAUUACGUGCCAGCAGCCGCGGUAACACGUAAGGGGCGAGCGUUGUUCGGAAUUAUUGGGCGUAAAGGGCAUGUAGGCGGUUAUGUAAGCCUGAUGUGAAAUCCUGGGGCUUAACCCUAGAAUAGCAUUGGGUACUGUAUAACUUGAAUUACGGAAGGGAAGCUGGAAUUCCAAGUGUAGGGGUGGAAUCUGUAGAUAUUUGGAAGAACACCGGUGGCGAAGGCGGGUUUCUGGCCGAUAAUUGACGCUGAGAUGCGAAAGUGUGGGGAUCGAACAGG